AACGAACGCUGGCGGCAUGCCUAACACAUGCAAGUCGAACGAGACCUUCGGGUCUAGUGGCGCACGGGUGCGUAACGCGUGGGAACCUGCCCUUAGGUUCGGAAUAACUCCCCGAAAGGGGUGCUAAUACCGGAUAAUGUCUUCGGACCAAAGAUUUAUCGCCUUUGGAUGGGCCCGCGUUGGAUUAGCUAGUUGGUAGGGUAAAAGCCUACCAAGGCGACGAUCCAUAGCUGGUCUGAGAGGAUGAUCAGCCACACUGGGACUGAGACACGGCCCAGACUCCUACGGGAGGCAGCAGUGGGGAAUAUUGGACAAUGGGCGAAAGCCUGAUCCAGCAAUGCCGCGUGAGUGAUGAAGGCCUUAGGGUUGUAAAGCUCUUUUACCCGGGAUGAUAAUGACAGUACCGGGAGAAUAAGCUCCGGCGAACUCAGU
RNAcentral lists this ribosomal RNA (432 nucleotides) under uncultured bacterium. RNAcentral describes it as "partial 16S ribosomal RNA". It matches the Rfam family "Bacterial small subunit ribosomal RNA", at positions 29 to 506 of the family's 1533-position model. The record is from RNAcentral.